Molecule: long non-coding RNA, 236 nt
Filed under: Capsicum annuum
Lineage: Eukaryota; Viridiplantae; Streptophyta; Magnoliopsida; Solanales; Solanaceae
Description: long non-coding RNA (CANN_LNC000919)
Source: RNAcentral
CCCAGGGGCAAGAGCUAACACUAUCAUAUUGUGUCUUGAUUUAUGAAAUAUCCUAUAACUCUUACCUUAAAGGCAAAACUUAUUUCAAAGGACUUCCAAACAACAAGUCGCACCAUUAAAUUUACUCUGAUGUCAAAAAAAAUCUUCUUUACUAUUAUCCAACUUUUUUGUUCAUUAAUAAAAAAAAUAAGAAGUUGAGUAAAAAGCAAAAAGAGAAAGAAAAAAAGAAAAAAAAG